CGAGCGGUCAGACAGUAAUAAAUACGAUGUGGUAAGGCGAAGCCAUGCGAAAGGGCCGGCAUAGAGGUAACGCCCCCGUAGCCGAAACUGCAUCGACUGUCGAGAGGGAUCCCAAGUAACUCGGGGCCCGAGAAAUCUCGAGUGAAUCUGGCGGGACCACCCGCUAAGCCUAAAUACUCUCUGGUGACCGAUAGCGGACUAGUACCGUGAGGGAAAGGUGAAAAGUACCCCGGGAGGGGAGUGAAAUAGUACCUGAACCCCGUGUGCCUACAAGCCGUAGGAGCGUCUUGAGAGCUUGUCUCUCUCCGUGACCUGCGUGCCUUUUGAAGAAUGAGCCUGCGAGUUAGCGAUGUGUGGCGAGGUUAACCCGUGAGGGGCAGCCGUAGCGAAAAGCGAGUCCGAACAGGGCGAAUGAGUCGCACGUCCUAGACCCGAAGCGGAGUGAUCU
RNAcentral lists this ribosomal RNA (448 nucleotides) under uncultured bacterium. RNAcentral's name for it is "bacterial LSU rRNA". It matches the Rfam family "Bacterial large subunit ribosomal RNA", at positions 309 to 731 of the family's 2925-position model. The record is from RNAcentral.